Molecule: ribosomal RNA, 496 nt
Filed under: uncultured bacterium
Lineage: Bacteria
Description: partial 16S ribosomal RNA
Rfam family: Bacterial small subunit ribosomal RNA
Source: RNAcentral
GAUGAACGCUGGCGGCGUGCCUAAUACAUGCAAGUCGAGCGAACAGACGAGGAGCUUGCUCCUCUGACGUUAGCGGCGGACGGGUGAGUAACACGUGGAUAACCUACCUAUAAGACUGGGAUAACUUCGGGAAACCGGAGCUAAUACCGGAUAAUAUAUUGAACCGCAUGGUUCAAUAGUGAAAGACGGUUUUGCUGUCACUUAUAGAUGGAUCCGCGCCGCAUUAGCUAGUUGGUUAGGUAACGGCUUACCAAGGCAACGAUGCGUAGCCGACCUGAGAGGGUGAUCGGCCACACUGGAACUGAGACACGGUCCAGACUCCUACGGGAGGCAGCAGUAGGGAAUCUUCCGCAAUGGGCGAAAGCCUGACGGAGCAACGCCGCGUGAGUGAUGAAGGUCUUCGGAUCGUAAAACUCUGUUAUUAGGGAAGAACAAAUGUGUAAGUAACUAUGCACGUCUUGACGGUACCUAAUCAGAAAGCCACGGCUAACUACGU